RNAcentral lists this ribosomal RNA (466 nucleotides) under uncultured bacterium. RNAcentral's name for it is "partial 16S ribosomal RNA". It matches the Rfam family "Bacterial small subunit ribosomal RNA", at positions 28 to 507 of the family's 1533-position model. The record is from RNAcentral.
GAUGAACGCUGGCGGCGUGCUUAACACAUGCAAGUCGAACGGAAAGGCCCAAGCUUGCUUGGGUACUCGAGUGGCGAACGGGUGAGUAACACGUGGGUGAUCUGCCCUGCACUUCGGGAUAAGCCUGGGAAACUGGGUCUAAUACCGGAUAGGACCACAUUUUGGAUGGUGUGGUGGAAAGUUUUUCGGUGUGGGGUGAGCUCGCGGCCUAUCAGCUUGUUGGUGGGGUAAUGGCCUACCAAGGCGUCGACGGGUAGCCGGCCUGAGAGGGUGUACGGCCACAUUGGGACUGAGAUACGGCCCAGACUCCUACGGGAGGCAGCAGUGGGGAAUAUUGCACAAUGGGCGCAAGCCUGAUGCAGCGACGCCGCGUGGGGGAUGACGGCCUUCGGGUUGUAAACUCCUUUCGCUAGGGACGAAGCGUUAUGUGACGGUACCUGGAGAAGAAGCACCGGCUAACUACGUG